CGAUGAAGCGGGAGGUUGCUACCAUAUGGGUAGGUUUUUCCGUGGAGAAUGUCCAAUUCUUGAAAUUGGG
Molecule: non-coding RNA, 70 nt
Filed under: human gut metagenome
Description: S10-Clostridia ribosomal protein leader
Rfam family: S10-Clostridia ribosomal protein leader
Source: RNAcentral